Molecule: long non-coding RNA, 4936 nt
Organism: Pieris napi
Lineage: Eukaryota; Metazoa; Arthropoda; Insecta; Lepidoptera; Pieridae
Exons: 2
Source: RefSeq, a predicted model, not a curated record
AUUAUAAGCAGAAAUUGCAGUAGGUAGUUUCGAUACCCAGCCGCCUUUUAUAAAAGAAAGGUCUCAAUGUGCGGGGGGCUCAUUUGUUGCUCGGACGUAAACGAGUAAGGUGGUUGGUAUCGAGGCCGCAUACUGUGAGUUCGUUCUAUGUUAUUUUUAUUCGGUGGUUUCUGUGUAAUAGUUUUAAGGUUAACGGUUGUUUUUAAAAUACCCAAAGUCGUGUUGUUUUGAUUGUAUAAGAUUAAUUUUAAGAUAGAUUUAGUGUGAUUUCGAAUAUACCGUGUUUUGUUCUUUGAUAAAGUUAUUUUUGGUUAAAUCACUUCUUACGUUAUUUCGAAUUGUUUUCCUUUAUUUGAUUAUUACUCCUGAUUGCUAAAAUCAGAAGUGGGAUAGGAUUUCGCUCACAAAUAAGCCUUGUAAACAACCGUUAAUUUUAGAAUAAGUUGCCACGUGCUUCCCGUGAACGGUCAAUUAGGACGAAGCCGCCUCGCUCUGAUAUUAAGCGUAGCCGUCGAAAGCGGUCUGUGCGAAACAAUAGGCAGUGUUCAAGUCAUGGUGGAGUGUGUUCAUAUUCGCGUCGCAGCAGGACUCGUUCUCAUUCGUGUCACAAUAGUGUCGUGACGGGUCGCUUUCACGUCGCGUUAGGUUACGUUCGCGUCGCGUUAGGUCGCAUUCGCAUUCGCGCCAUGGUAGGUUAACCAUUGGGACGACUAUGAUUGCUUCUCUCGUGUGGAUAAUUGCCUAAGAAGUGACGCAAAAGCCUGGUUAAACGAGUGGGCUACUAACGAGCGUUCAUGGCCAAAUUUCGUUAAAGAGUUUAGGUUCAUGUGUCCGCAAAAGGUGAACUACGCGCAAAUUCUCCACGAAGUUAUUAACUCGACGUCAGAAAAGUUUCUGUCAUACGCAGAAUACGCGCGUUGUUCGUUGCGUUUACGCCAUGUAAAAGGAUUAAGUGAAGAACUUAUGGUCCAAAUCGUGAUUUUUGGUAUUAGUGAUGUACAAGUGCGCGCCGAAGCAACUAACGCCGACUUAACGACAGAAAAUCUGGUCUCAUUUUUAGCCACGUAUGUUAAGUCUAUCCGCAAAUUAGAUAAUCGUUACCCUGAUAGCCUGAAAUUGUUCAAUUCUAGCUAAGCACUUAAUGUUUUUAUUUUUUAAUAUCAUCUGCGGUAGUAAACUACUUUCCUGGUCCACGCAGACCGAUUAACUGUUUAUUGAAGGGAAUAGGUGACAAAGAGUUUGUCGCUCGACAAAUAUAUGACUUUGACUAUCGAACUACGUAAUAUCUCGCUUGAAGUUGAUUUUCUCAUUGUACCUGCGUUGUAUAUGAAUACGCCGUUCAUAAUAGGGACAGACGUUCUCAAUCGUGAUGGCGUCACGUUUAUUCGCACGAAACGUGAACAAUACCUAACUCACACACCAGAUAGGGUACUAGUAGUGAAUGCUGUGAAUGCUGUGAAUGCUAACCAAUUUGACAGCAUAAAUACGCCUCUCGAAGGUGCGGAGUGUGCUAAGUUGAUGGCUGUCAUUAAAGAAUUCUCUCCGUUUUUAAUAUCCGGUACAGCAACUACAGCGGUGACUACGGAGGCUGGUAGUGUGCUUAUGUACAUUGACGACGUUCUUAUUGUAAGUAUGUCUAAUGACGACGGUAUUUCUCUAUUACGCGAUGUCUUGAAGAAUGACAGAAGCUGGAUUCUCUGUCAAUUUGCGAAAGUGUUCUUUCCUCACAACUAAAAUAGAGAACUUGGGUCGUGUUAUCAGUUAUGGUCAGGUUAGGCCGAGUCUGCAUAAAAUUGAAGCGUUGGUUAAUUCACCUACUCCAACUAACGUUAAGCAGGUACGUAAAGUUUAAGGUUUAGCUGGAUACUUCCGGCGUUAAAUUGAAGGCUACGGGACAAAAACCGCAUGUAUAUCGCGUCUCACUAAGAAAGACGUCAAAUUUGAAUGGGAACCCGAACAAGAUCAAGUCAAACAAGAGUUCUUAAAGCAAUUAACCAAAGAGCCUAUACUUGCGAUUUUGGACCCGAGCCUUCCCACUGAACUAAACACCUAGCGUCUAGCAGUGCAGGAUAUGGUGCCGUGCUUAUGCAGGCCCACACGGAUGGUAAUAAACGAGUGGUAGCCUAUUUUAGUAGGGUUACCCAGGGUUUGGAGCCCAAGUACCAUUCAUAUGAAUUAGAAACGUUGGCGGUCGUCGAGGCUCUGCAACAUUUUCGGCAUUACCUGGUUGGUAUAAGUUUUAAGAUAAUCACCGAUUGCAAUGCCUUGAAGGCCACCGAACGUAAGAAGGAUCUUCUUCCACGAGUUGCCCGCUGGUGGGUAUAUUUACCAGAUUGUAAUUUUACUUUUGAUUAUAGAAAAGGGGUUUUAAUGCAACAAGCUACGUGUUGAAGUAGGCAACAAAGGUUUCCAGUGGUCCGACGUGCUGUGGAGGAUACCUACAGCUCACUUUGGAGGAAUAUCUCCAAGCAAAGUACCAUGCAGACUUCACCACUGCAGUUACUGGUCGGUAUCGAUAUGUGAUCUGUGGAGUUACUGGUCAUCAGAUCGUUAGUGUGAGAUGUGGCAAUUACUAACUCUAUUCCCAAUCGGGAGGCUCUCUUAACUCUUCGCAGGUGGCGAGCUUCCGAACUGCUUGCAACCGGUCGAUGGUGCCGGGAUGCCUGCGUUAGCGGAAGUCGACGGUGGCCGCACGCCUUUGCUGUCGGAGACUUUGUUUGUGAGCAAGACUGCACAAAUCACCGGUGAACUGGACCCCGGCAUGCGUGGGCCUUACAAGGUUAUUCGCGCGCUACCGUGCCACCGCUACGAGUUAGAGCUACUAGCUGGUUCCUGAUGUUGUGGCAAGGCGAGUGGACGCCGGAUGCGUGCACAUUUUCCUUCGAGACUUGACUUUGUGGUGCUAAUGUGUUUAGACCACUUUGAGAACAUACAAGCGUAUGGGUCUCUGUUUUAAACUUUUGUUGUCCUAAUAUGUUUAGACCACUUGGAGAACAUGCAAAGGUAUGGGUCUCUGUUUCAUAUUUUUGUGGUGGUAAUGUGUUUAGGCCACUUAGAGAACAUGCAAAAUGUAUGGGUCUCUGUUUUAACAAAUUUUCGCUUAGGAGAGCACUAGGAGCCACUGUCGUUGUGACAGUGUAUUGCAAAUAUACUGAGUUUUAUCUUAAUUCGUGCUAAGUCUGAAGCUAUCUAAUUCUGUAAUAUUUGGUUUUUGAUUAGACCUUAUCUAUGUGCGCUUGAGUGCACGCUUGCGCACAUGGUUCUGGUAAUGGAGAAAUAGAGAUAAAUGUCAUUUUUCGUUCCUACAAUUCAAGAUAUACGCUUCAGGCUAUGACACGAAGCUAGGUAGAUUACUACAAGUUCCCUUACAGAGACUGCGCUAGACAAUUAUGAGCAGGUUGCAAGUGAUGCUGCGGUCGAGGACGCUGCACUGUCAGAAACGGCCAUCUUAGAAAAAAAAAAUCCCAACCAGCAAACCGGACGGAGUAUCAGGUUAUAAAAGAGGAGUGGAACAGCGGAUUGGGGGUAUUCUACGUUUGGCUCAGAUGUGACGGCCGUUUCGGUUGUAUUUAGCGGUUAUUCUCUGUAGGUAUUAGUUUCGGUCUUUAGUUGUGUUAAUUAUUAUUUUUGGUCAAUUAUUAUUUUAGUGUUGUAGUUAGUUAAAUCAUUUUGUAAGGAAUGGAACUUUAAUCAAAUCAAUAACAUAGAACGGCCCUUGAACUGGGCGCAGAUGGCUAAAUCAGCUGACUCCGAGACCGCCGAUCUCAUACGUAAGCUCGGAGAAGGUAAUUUAGACCCUAGACGAUACGUAUGUCAAAACGAUGUGCUCUAUUAUCGUUGUUCACCCCUUGGUGAGGAGCCGCGUUUGCCUUGUUAUAUACGUAAUAGUCACAGGCUUAGCUUACUGAGGGUAUUCCAUGACGAGCAUGAACAUAUCGGGGUUGACAACACUUAUGACCUAAUUUUAAAACACUUUUGGUUUCCCGGUUUAAUGCAAUUUGUUCGUAAAUAUACGACCCACUGGGUCUGGGUGCAUUUCUAAGAAACGUAUCCAAAGAGCCUCACGUCAACCCAUUACAUCAUGGGAAAAGUACGGUGCCCUGAGAGUUGUGCCGCAUUUUUCGAAAGUAAGUUUCAACCCCGUUACUAAUAUGUUAUUUCCUUAUGUUAAAGAUGCGCGCGUGAUAUGUUGCCUUGCGUGCGAGUGUGAGGCAACUAUGUGCCUUGCUGGUUGAAACGGACUGCCAAUGUGGUGCGGUCAUGGUGUGUUCCUGGGGCCAGCAACCUUGAGAAGCGGGCCUCGGCAGACGUGCAUCCUGUGCGCGUGGCGGGCGCUGUCCCGGAAGAUGUGUUCUUUGAAUACAUAUCAAGCGCAGUCCUAGCAGCCUUAGGGCUGGUGCUCUUUUGAGAGUGUUACGGGCGCUGUCCCGAUUGCGAUGACGAAUACCCCGAUGACGUUAGUGAGCCUUCAGCUGCGUGUGCUAGUCCUGCUGCUUCCUCAAGAACACUCGAACCACAUAUGGGUGAACAUGGUGACCAAGAUACCGUCAUGCCUUCCACCAGUUCUUCCAAAGAAGAGAUCAACAGUGCAUCCGAGGACGGUGCACAGUCAGGAGAGGCCGUAUAAGCAGAAAUUGCAGUAGGUAGUUUCGAUACCCAGCCGCCUUUUAUAAAAGAAAGGUCUCAAUGUGCGGGGGGCUCAUUUGUUGCUCGGACGUAAACGAGUAAGGUGGUUGGUAUCGAGGCCGCAUACUGUGAGUUCGUUCUAUGUUAUUUUUAUUCGGUGGUUUCUGUGUAAUAGUUUUAAGGUUAACGGUUGUUUUUAAAAUACCCAAAGUCGUGUUGUUUUGAUUGUAUAAGAUUAAUUUUAAGAUAGAUUUAGUGUGAUUUCGAAUAUACCGUGUUUUGUUCUUUGAUAAAGUUAUUUUUGGUUAAA